AAAAAAUAAUAAAAAACAAAAAUAAAUUACAUUUAGCUACCGUUCCAGUAUGGAACGGUAGCUGUAUAUCUAUUAUAAAAAAUAAAAAAAUAUGGAGUAAGUCAUUUGGGAUCCCAAAUCUGCGCAAACCAUCGUCCAUCGUCAUUUCCGAUCUGCGCAAACCAUCGUCCUCCACUGUGUCCUGCCACCGCAGCCACCACCGCACAGCCAUCAAUCCUCCAUUUCCGCCUCCACCGCAGCCACCAUUGCAGCCGUUGCGCCACCACAGUCCGCCAUUGCAGCCACCGUACCAGAUCUGCGCAGCGAUUUCCACCUCCACCGCAGCCACCACCGUCCGCCAUUGCAGCACCACCGUCGGCCAAGCCCCAGUCGCCUCCACCGUCUCCACUGCCUCCGCCCCAGUCGCCUGUCCAGCUGGCCACCACCGUCCGCCAUUGCCGAAGUUGAUGAGUGAAGCUAGCAGUAAGAAUAUGACUCCUUUCCUUUUCUUUCAAUUACUUGUUCUAUCCAAUUGAAGUUGGGGGCGGAAUCAGAAUGGUCAACUGGGUCUUGGCACCAUAGAGGAUUCACUUGUACCUCAGAAAAUUGAAACAUUUCAGGGAGUUCCUGUGAAAAUGGUUGCUGCCGGUGCUGAACAUACAGCUGCUGUGACAGAAGAUGGCGAGCUUUACGUUUGGGGCUGGGGUCGAUAUGGUAAUCUGGUUUAGGUGACCGAAAUGAUCGCUUAGUUCCUGAAAAAGUUUCAGCUAUACAAGUGAUUAAGAUGUAGAAUUUAUGCUCACCUGUGUGUGUUUGACUGGAGAAAACUUGAUUUUAUUCUAUGCUUGGGACUAGCAUGGAGAAAAGAUGGUAAUGGUAGCAUGUGGAUGGCGACAUACAAUGUCUGUUUCUUCCUCUGGUUCUUUAUAUACUUAUGGCUGGAGCAAAUAUGGCUAACUUGGGCAUUAAGUGGGGAUUUUUAAGACCACUUUGUUCCCAGUAAGCUUGAAACCUUGCAUGGUGAUUUUAUUUCUCAGAUUUCAGGUGGAUGGAGACACACCAUGAUAUUUGAAAUGCAUUUAUAACCAACUUAUGCAUUGUUCUCUUGUUUGAGGAGCUAUUUGUCUAUUUUAUGGUGGUCCAUUUGUAUUUUUCUACUGCUAGAUCAUUAAUCCCAGGAUUUGAGCUGACUGUGCUAUGCAGGUGAAAAAGGUUGACGAAAACAAGUGAACGUCUUUUAUCAUGUUUUAAAUUCCAAGACUAGGGUACAAUAAAGAUUCGAAAUAGUAAAUUUGAUAUUUGUGAUGUAGUAAGCAUACAAAAAAAUUAGAAGAAUAUGAUGUUUAAUAUUUCA
Ipomoea triloba (trilobed morning glory) is the source of this 1333-nucleotide long non-coding RNA. RefSeq lists it as uncharacterized. The transcript has 7 exons. Lineage: Eukaryota; Viridiplantae; Streptophyta; Magnoliopsida; Solanales; Convolvulaceae. The record is from RefSeq and is a predicted model, not a curated record.